RNAcentral lists this ribosomal RNA (335 nucleotides) under uncultured bacterium. Its description in RNAcentral is "bacterial SSU rRNA". It matches the Rfam family "Bacterial small subunit ribosomal RNA", at positions 115 to 484 of the family's 1533-position model. The record is from RNAcentral.
GCGUAGGAAUCUACCUAGGUAGUACGGAAUAGCCAUUAGAAAUGGUGGGUAAUACUGUAUAAUCCCCGAGGGGGAAAGAUUUAUCGCUAUUAGAUGAGCCUACGUUAGAUUAGCUAGUUGGUGAGGUAAUGGCUUACCAAGGCUAUGAUCUAUAGCUGGUCUGAGAGGACGAUCAGCCACACUGGAACUGAGAUACGGUCCAGACUCCUACGGGAGGCAGCAGUGGGGAAUAUUGGACAAUGGGCGAAAGCCUGAUCCAGCUAUGCCGCGUGAGUGAAGAAGGCCUUCGGGUUGUAAAACUCUUUCAAUAGGGAAGAUAAUGACGGUACCUAUAA